Varroa destructor (honeybee mite) is the source of this 954-nucleotide long non-coding RNA. RefSeq lists it as uncharacterized. Lineage: Eukaryota; Metazoa; Arthropoda; Arachnida; Mesostigmata; Varroidae. The record is from RefSeq and is a predicted model, not a curated record.
GUCGAAAGUACGGUCAUGAAAAUUAAAGAAGUGCUAUUGGUAACCCUACGAAGACUUUUGCUUCUACACUCAGAUAAGACCAGGACGGCUGAAUUCUAUCGCGAAAGGAAAUGUGUGCGUACUUGAACCUGGACCACCAAUUAUACUUAAUAUCAGCAAGCAAAUUCGUUACUCCGAAAGCUGUCACGAAGACGGUUAACAUCAACGUGUCAAACGUCUGCCGUCCGGCAGAUCUAUACCCGAGGUCCACAACGUCGUGAGUCGUUGAGAGCAUUCAUAACAACUGACCAUCUAAAUUUCGCUCGCGACUUGAAUCACUUUGAACUGCGGGUAUUGAAGAUGUAUUCCUAGACGGGUCUGCCAUCGAAAAGAAUCGAUGAGAUGGUCAAGCUAAAGCACCUCAUCUUCAUCGGCAAAGUUGGAAACCAAUCUUGUAGAGGUGUGAGCUUUAAAGAGCUAUGUUAAGCAUGUAUUUUAACGUUGAAGAUUUCUCUGAACGGACUUUUUGUUGUGGAUUAACGAGCUUAAUCAUAAACCUCGGAACAUCGGUCUUGCCUUUUUGUAUCACAGGUGCGCAGUGAUGUUCACAUAUAAAUGACCGAAUCUCAUUGUAUCGCAAAAUUUUGCCCCUAUCAUGCCACACAUUACGUAAAAUCGUUUUUUGCCUCGACAGUUAUUUACAAAUGUUGUUGCCAAAUGAUAUCAAAUAUUCCCAUUGACGUGACAUUGUGCUUCAGGUUUCCUGAUACUUUAAUAAGGCCAUAGACUUAACAUAUCUAAGCUAUUUUAAUAGGGUGUGCUACGGUGGCGGCCCAAAAUGGGUCAGGAAGUUGGAAGUACAUAAGUACGUUAGGGUUCUGCGCAGUUCUUGCAGCGCUGAAGUCGCCUGUGACUUGCAUUCAUUAAGAAAGGAAUCAAAUUAUAGUGGGAGCGAACUUGAGAAUACGGUACGUU